UACGUAGGGUGCAAGCGUUGUCCGGAAUUAUUGGGCGUAAAGAGCUCGUAGGCGGUCUGUCGCGUCUGCUGUGAAAACUCAGGGCUUAACCCUGAGCUUGCAGUGGGUACGGGCAGACUAGAGUGCGGUAGGGGAGACUGGAAUUCCUGGUGUAGCGGUGAAAUGCGCAGAUAUCAGGAGGAACACCGGUGGCGAAGGCGGCUUCCUGGACCGACACUGACGCUGAGGCGCGAAAGUGUGGGGAGCGAACCGG
This 253-nucleotide ribosomal RNA is filed under the name uncultured bacterium. Its description in RNAcentral is "partial 16S ribosomal RNA". It matches the Rfam family "Bacterial small subunit ribosomal RNA", at positions 524 to 776 of the family's 1533-position model. The record is from RNAcentral.